This 253-nucleotide ribosomal RNA is filed under the name uncultured bacterium. RNAcentral describes it as "partial 16S ribosomal RNA". It matches the Rfam family "Bacterial small subunit ribosomal RNA", at positions 524 to 776 of the family's 1533-position model. The record is from RNAcentral.
UACGGAGGGAGCUAGCGUUGUUCGGAAUUACUGGGCGUAAAGGGCGUGUAGGCGGUCAAGUAAGUGGAAUGUGAAAGCCCCCGGCUUACCCGGGGAUCUGCAUCCCAAACUGCUUGGCUUGAGUACGGGAGAGGAUAGGGGAAUUCCUGGUGUAGCGGUGAAAUGCGCAGAUAUCGGGAGGAACACCAGUAGCGAAGGCGGCACUCUGGGCCGGUACUGACGCUGAGGAGCGAAAGCGUGGGGAGCAAACAGG